GUAUAAGAGACAGCAGCAGCCACGGUAACACAGAGGGUGCGAGCGUUAAUCGGAUUUACUGGGCGUAAAGCGUGCGUAGGCGGCUUCUUAAGUCGGAUGUGAAAUCCCUGAGCUUAACUUAGGAAUUGCAUUCGAUACUGGGAAGCUAGAGUAUGGGAGAGGAUGGUAGAAUUCCAGGUGUAGCGGUGAAAUGCGUAGAGAUCUGGAGGAAUACCGAUGGCGAAGGCAGCCAUCUGGCCUAAUACUGACGCUGAGGUACGAAAGCAUGGGGAGCAAACAGGAUUAGAUACCCCGGUAGUCCCUGUCUCUUAUAC
This 314-nucleotide ribosomal RNA is filed under the name uncultured bacterium. RNAcentral describes it as "partial 16S ribosomal RNA". It matches the Rfam family "Bacterial small subunit ribosomal RNA", at positions 495 to 807 of the family's 1533-position model. The record is from RNAcentral.